This 433-nucleotide ribosomal RNA is filed under the name uncultured bacterium. RNAcentral describes it as "partial 16S ribosomal RNA". It matches the Rfam family "Bacterial small subunit ribosomal RNA", at positions 29 to 507 of the family's 1533-position model. The record is from RNAcentral.
AACGAACGCUGGCGGCAGGCUUAACACAUGCCAGUCGAGCGAGACCUUCGGGUCCAGCGGCGGGCGGGUGAGUAACGCGUGGGAACGUGCCCUUCUCUACGGAAUAGCCCCGGGAAACUGGGAGUAAUACCGUAUACGCCCUUUGGGGGAAAGAUUUAUCGGAGAAGGAUCGGCCCGCGUUGGAUUAGGUAGUUGGUGGGGUAAUGGCCCACCAAGCCGACGAUCCAUAGCUGGUUUGAGAGGAUGAUCAGCCACACUGGGACUGAGACACGGCCCAGACUCCUACGGGAGGCAGCAGUGGGGAAUCUUAGACAAUGGGGGCAACCCUGAUCUAGCCAUGCCGCGUGAGUGAUGAAGGCCUUAGGGUUGUAAAGCUCUUUCAGCUGGGAAGAUAAUGACGGUACCAGCAGAAGAAGCCCCGGCUAACUCCGUG